This 324-nucleotide small RNA is filed under the name Congregibacter litoralis KT71. RNAcentral describes it as "Long range pseudoknot". The record is from RNAcentral. Lineage: Bacteria; Pseudomonadati; Pseudomonadota; Gammaproteobacteria; Cellvibrionales; Halieaceae.
ACGGAGGAAGGAGACUACCAGGUAAAACUACGCAACCUGGUGCGUUUCCUCGAGAACGGGGAUAAGGCCAAAGUCACGCUGCGGUUUCGCGGUCGUGAGAUGGCUCACCAGGAGAUCGGCAUGGAGCUGCUCAAGCGAGUAGAAGCCGAUCUUGCGGAACUUGGCGGUGUCGAGCAGUUUCCGAAAAUGGAAGGCCGGCAGAUGACCAUGGUUAUUGCCCCGAAAAGGAAGAAUGGCUAGCGGCCCGUGAAUGCCCUGGAUCAUUUAAUUUGAUGUGAGUUCCAGCUGUUUAUUCGCGGGAAGCCCCAAAAGGGAGCCGUCGGA